UUAAUUUAAUGGAAUACACAGGCCAGUAAUCUUGGAUCCAGCUGACCCAACUAAUAAUGUGAGUGGAGAUAAAAUAUGCUGGCAACGGCUGAAAAAAGAAGCUCAAACUUGGUUGACUUCUCCCAACCUGGAUAAUGAAUUACCUGCACCAUCUUGGAAUGUUCUGCCUGCACCACUCUUCACGACCCCAGGCCACCUUCUGGAUAAGUUCAUCAAGGAGUUUCUCCAGCCCAACAAAUGCUUCCUAGAGCAGAUCGACAGUGCUGUUAACAUCAUCCGUACAUUCCUUAAAGAAAACUGCUUCCGACAAUCAACCGCCAAGAUCCAGAUUGUCCGGGGAGGAUCAACUGCCAAAGGCACAGCUCUGAAGACUGGCUCUGAUGCCGACCUCGUCGUGUUCCAUAACUCGCUUAAAAGCUACACCUCCCAAAAAAAUGAGCGGCACAAAAUCGUCAAGGAAAUCCACGAACAGCUGGAAGCCUUUUGGAGGGAGAAUAAGGAGGAGCUUGAAGUCAGCUUUG
This 521-nucleotide small RNA is filed under the name Pongo abelii (Sumatran orangutan). RNAcentral describes it as "retained intron". The record is from RNAcentral. Lineage: Eukaryota; Metazoa; Chordata; Mammalia; Primates; Hominidae.